This 64-nucleotide transfer RNA is filed under the name Ptilodactylidae sp. 2 ACP-2013. Its description in RNAcentral is "tRNA-His". The record is from RNAcentral. Lineage: Eukaryota; Metazoa; Arthropoda; Insecta; Coleoptera; Ptilodactylidae.
UCUAAUUAGUUUAUAAAAAAUUUUGAUUUGUGGAGUCAAAGAUAUACUUUUGUAUUUUAGAUAA